Molecule: ribosomal RNA, 489 nt
Filed under: uncultured bacterium
Lineage: Bacteria
Description: partial 16S ribosomal RNA
Rfam family: Bacterial small subunit ribosomal RNA
Source: RNAcentral
GACGAACGCUGGCGGCGUGCUUAACACAUGCAAGUCGAACGGAAAGGCCCCCAUCUUGGUGGGGGUGCUCGAGUGGCGAACGGGUGAGUAACACGUGGGUGAUCUGCCCUGUACUUCGGGAUAAGCUUGGGAAACUGGGUCUAAUACCGGAUAGGACCAUGGUUUAGUGUCUCAUGGUGGAAAGAUUAUUGUUUUGGUGCAGGAUGAGCUCGCGGCCUAUCAGCUUGUUGGUGGGGUAAUGGCCUACCAAGGCGUCGACGGGUAGCCGGCCUGAGAGGGUGGACGGCCACAUUGGGACUGAGAUACGGCCCAGACUCCUACGGGAGGCAGCAGUGGGGAAUAUUGCACAAUGGGCGCAAGCCUGAUGCAGCGACGCCGCAUGGGGGAUGACGGCCUUCGGGUUGUAAACUCCUUUCGUUAGGGACGAAGCCGCACUUUUUUUGGGUGUGGUGACGGUACCUUUGUUAAGAAGCACCGGCUAACUACGUG